UAGGACAUGGUCUUGAUCUCUUCCCAGC
This 28-nucleotide non-coding RNA is filed under the name Rattus norvegicus (Norway rat). The record is from RNAcentral. Lineage: Eukaryota; Metazoa; Chordata; Mammalia; Rodentia; Muridae.